RNAcentral lists this ribosomal RNA (253 nucleotides) under uncultured bacterium. RNAcentral describes it as "partial 16S ribosomal RNA". It matches the Rfam family "Bacterial small subunit ribosomal RNA", at positions 524 to 776 of the family's 1533-position model. The record is from RNAcentral.
UACGUAGGGGGCUAGCGUUGUUCGGAUUCAUUGGGCGUAAAGGGUGCGUAGGUGGCGCCAUAAGUCAGGUGUGAAAUCUCGGGGCUCAACCCCGAAACUGCAUUUGAUACUGUGGUGCUCGAGUACUGGAGAGGAGAUUGGAAUUUACGGUGUAGCAGUGAAAUGCGUAGAUAUCGUAAGGAAGACCAGUGGCGAAGGCGGAUCUCUGGACAGUUACUGACACUGAGGCACGAAGGCCAGGGGAGCAAACGGG